This 85-nucleotide transfer RNA is filed under the name Methylococcaceae bacterium TMED69. RNAcentral's name for it is "tRNA-Leu". It matches the Rfam family "tRNA". From Rfam's summary of the family: Transfer RNA (tRNA) molecules are approximately 80 nucleotides in length. Lineage: Bacteria; Pseudomonadati; Pseudomonadota; Gammaproteobacteria; Methylococcales; Methylococcaceae. The record is from RNAcentral.
GCCGAUGUGGUGGAAUUGGUAGACACGCUGUCUUGAGGGGGCAGUGCUUAACAGCGUGCCGGUUCGAAUCCGGCCAUCGGCACCA